UAGAGUUUGAUCCUGGCUCAGAUUGAACGCUGGCGGCAUGCUUUACACAUGCAAGUCGAACGGUAACAGGUCUUCGGAUGCUGACGAGUGGCGAACGGGUGAGUAAUACAUCGGAACGUGCCUAGUAGUGGGGGAUAACUACUCGAAAGAGUAGCUAAUACCGCAUGAGAUCUACGGAUGAAAGCAGGGGACCUUCGGGCCUUGUGCUACUAGAGCGGCUGAUGGCAGAUUAGGUAGUUGGUGGGGUAAAGGCUUACCAAGCCUGCGAUCUGUAGCUGGUCUGAGAGGACGACCAGCCACACUGGGACUGAGACACGGCCCAGACUCCUACGGGAGGCAGCAGUGGGGAAUUUUGGACAAUGGGCGAAAGCCUGAUCCAGCAAUGCCGCGUGCAGGAUGAACGCCCUCGGGUUGUAAACUGCUUUUGUACGGAACGAAAGCCUGGGGCUAAUAUCCCCGGGUCAUGACGGUACCGUAAGAAUAAGCACCGGCUAACUACGUGCCAGCAGCCGCGGUAAUACGUAGGUGCAGCGUUAAUCGGAAUUACUGGGGCGUAAAGCGUGCGCA
Molecule: ribosomal RNA, 567 nt
Filed under: uncultured bacterium
Lineage: Bacteria
Description: bacterial SSU rRNA
Rfam family: Bacterial small subunit ribosomal RNA
Source: RNAcentral